Oncorhynchus tshawytscha (Chinook salmon) is the source of this 2339-nucleotide long non-coding RNA. The record is from Ensembl. Lineage: Eukaryota; Metazoa; Chordata; Actinopteri; Salmoniformes; Salmonidae.
AAAAGGGAGAGAGGAGAGAGGAUGCCAAAAGGAGAGAGAGGAGAGAGGCUGCCAAGAGGAGAGAGGAUGCCAGAAGGAGAGGAGGAGAGAGGAUGCCAGAAGGAGAGAGGAUACCAGAAGGAGAGAGAGGAGGAGAGGAUGCAAGAAGGAGAGAGGAGGAGAGAGGAUGCCAAAAGGAGAGAGAGGAGAGAGGAUGCCAGAAGGAGAGAGAGGAGGAGAGGAUGCCAGAAGGAGAGAGGAUGCCAGAAGGAGAGAGGAGGAGAGAGGAUGCUAGAAGGAGAGAGAGGAGGAGAGGAUGCCAGGAAGAGAGAGGAUGAGAGAGGAUGCCAAAAGGAGAGAGGAUGACCGAAGAAGAGAGAGGAGGAGAGGAUGCCAGAAGGAGAGGAGGAGAGAGGAUGCCAAAAGGAGAGAGAGGAGAGAGGCUGCCAGAUGGAGUGAGAGGAGAGAGGAUGCCAGAAGGAGUUGAGGAGAGAGGAUGCCAGAAAGAGAGAGAAGGAGAGAGGAUGCCAAAAGGAGAGAGAGGAGAGAGGAUGCCAGACGGAGUGAGAGGAGAGAGGAUGCCAGACGGAGUGAGAGGAGAGAGGAUGCCAGAAGGAGAGAGAAGGAGAGAGGAUGCCAAAAGGAGAGAGAGGAGGGAGGAUGCCAAGAGGAGAGAGGAGAGAGGAUGCCAGAAGGAGAGGAGGAGGGAGGAUGCCAGAAGAGAGAGAGAGGAGAGAGGAUGCCAGAAGGAGAGAGGGGAGGAGAGGAUGCCAGGAGGGGGAGAGAGGAUGCCAAAAGGAGAGAGAGGAGAGAGGAUGCCAGAUUGAGAGAGAGGAGAAAGGAUGCCAGAAGGAGAGGAGGAGAGAGGAUGCCAGAAGGAGAGAGAAGGAGAGAGGAUGCCAAAAGGAGAGAGAGGAGAGAGGAUGCCAAGAGGAGAGAGGAGAGAGGAUGCCAGAAGGAGAGGAGGAGAGAGGAUGCCAGAAGGAGAGGAGGAGAGAGGAUGCCAGAAGGAGAGAGGAGAGAGGAUGCCAGAAGGAGAGAGGAGGAGAGGAUGCCAGAAGGAGAGAGGAUGCCAGAAGGAGAGAGGAGAAGAGAGAGGAUGCCAGAAGGAGAGAGAAGAGAGGAUGCCAGAAGGAGAGAGGAGAAAGGAUGCCAGAAGCAGAGAGGAGAGGAGAGAGGAUGCCAGAAGGAGAGAGGAGAGAGGAUGCCAGAAGGAGAGAGGAGAGGAGAGGAUGCCAGAAGGAGACAGGGGGAGAGGAUGCCAAAAGGAGAGAGAGGAGGAGAGGAUGCCAGAAGGAGAGAGAGGAGGAGAGAGGAUGCCAGAAGGAGAGAGGAGAGAGGAUGCCAGAAGGAGAGAGGAGAGGAGAGGAUGCCAGAAUUAGAGAGGAGGAGAGAGGAUGCCAGAAGGAAAGGAGAGGAGCGAGGAUGCCAGAAGGAGAGAGAGGAGGAGAGGAUGCCAGGAGGGGGGAGAGAGGAUGCCAAAAGGAGAGAGAGGAGAGAGGAUGCCAGACGGAGUGAGGAGAAAGGAUGCCAGAAGCAGAGAGGAGAGGAGAGAGGAUGCCAGAAGGAGAGAGGAGAGAGGAUGCCAGAAGGAGAGAGGAGAGGAGAGGAUGCCAGAAGGAGAGAGGAGAAGAGAGAGGAUGCCAGAAGGAGAGAGAAGAGAGGAUGCCAGAAGGAGAGAGGAGAAAGGAUGCCAGAAGCAGAGAGGAGAGGAGAGAGGAUGCCAGAAGGAGAGAGGAGAGAGGAUGCCAGAAGGAGAGAGGAGAGGAGAGGAUGCCAGAAGGAGACAGGGGGAGAGGAUGCCAAAAGGAGAGAGAGGAGGAGAGGAUGCCAGAAGGAGAGAGAGGAGGAGAGAGUAUGCCAAAAGGAGAGAGAGGAGAGAGGAUGCCAAAAGGAGAGAGAGGAUAGCGGAUGCCAGAAGGAGAGAGGAGGAAAGAGGAUGCCAAAAGGAGAGAGAGGAGAGAGGAUGCCAAAAGGAGAGAGAGGAGAGAGGAUGCCAAGAGGAGAGAGGAUGCCAGAAGGAGAGGAGGAGAGAGGAUGCCAGAAGGAGAGAGAGGAGGAGAGGAUGCAAGAAGGAGAGAGGAGGAGAGAGGAUGCCAAAAGGAGAGAGAGGAGAGAGGAUGCCAGAAGGAGAGAGAGGAGGAGAGAGGAUGCCAGAAGGAGAGAGGAGGGGGGAUGCCAGAAGGAGAGAGGAGAAAGGAUGUCAGAAGCAGAGAGGAGAGGAGAGAGGAUGCCAGAAGGAGAGAGGAGAGAGGAUGCCAGAAGGAGAGAGGAGAGGAGAGGAUGCCAGAAGGAGAGAGGAGGAGAGAGGAUGCCAGAAGGAAAGGAGAGGAGCGAGGAUGCCAGAAGGAGAGAGAGAA